AGAUGAUGUGCCCAUCACAAUGAGUUCUGAUUGUGAUGUUAUGGUGAACACACAGGUAUCAGGAAGACCUAACACAUCUACAAGUUGACCUCUGCUCCUACUUACUAUUUGCAAGCUCUGAUUUCACUGGGUUGCUUAGCUUAACUUUACCAAAUAAAGACAACUUGCAAGGGUGUUGUGAGCUUAUCCAACCUACAGAACUAAUUGGAACCUAUGUCUAAUGCCUCGGUGAAUUCUAAGACCCCUGCCAUCGUAGAACUUAAAGGAAAUGAUUGAGUGCAACAAGACCAGAGACAGAGAUCCCUGAUCAGUUAUUUUCAGAAAGGUAAUUUAAAAUAAUUAUAGUUAACUGGAAAAAGAGACAAAGAAAAGUUAAGAUAUUAAGAGACUGUAGCUACAGGAAACAGCUGCCAUCCUCUGGGCUAGGGGCACAUGAGAAGGUGAAAGACCCAGAGGACUUCUUCCCAGCUUCCACUAGCUCCUAGAAGCCUCCAAGAGGCAGGAUAUUGAAACUCACCAGGAAAUAGGGAAUGUUCACCAGAGAAGCAGCUGAAGAGCUCUCCAGGUGCCUGGAACAAGCAUCUGGGCUCACCUAGAGACUUGCUUUGUUUGACCUUUAGAGAGCAGUAGAAGUGAGUGUAUAACUCUGGAAACUCUGGACGUUAAGAGAUAUAGAAUUUUCUGUGUUUUGCCACCUUGGGACAGUAAAUUACCACCUGACUCUUCACUUGGAGAACAACAACUGGCUGACAGGUAAUACCAGCUCUAGACCCGUGAAGAAAACCAACUUAGAUGUUCUAGGUCCAGCCAGCCUUCUGCAUGACUUUGCAGACUGUGCUUAGUCAAAUACUUCAUGGAGCAGAACUGCCCAACUGAGCCCAGCCCCCACACACAGUUGGGAGAUAUGAUAAAAUAGAAGGCUUGUUGCAUAGCGAUAGACAUCUGACAUUAUGUCUAAAAUCCUAUGUAAACAAUCAGACAAAUGCACAAAAAGUGUGCAUGAAUUCUUGUAGUGUAACAAUAAAAAUGUUCGAACAAAACCGAAA
Molecule: long non-coding RNA, 1046 nt
Organism: Erinaceus europaeus (western European hedgehog)
Lineage: Eukaryota; Metazoa; Chordata; Mammalia; Eulipotyphla; Erinaceidae
Exons: 3
Source: RefSeq, a predicted model, not a curated record